UGUAUCAAUAAAAUCAAUCAGCUAAUAAAUCAAUCACUGGCAUCUAUCUACCUUCAAUAAUGUAUCCAAAUAUAUCCAAAUCAAAUUCUUCUCUUGCUAAUAAUUCCUGACACAUUGCCCAGAAUAAUGUAACAAUGUACGAUCAAUGCAUCAACCUUCAACUUGCCAUAUUUCUCAGAAAAAAAUAUGUAAUAGCAAAAAGUACUUUCUCCAAAUUAAGCAGGUAAAAUUUUUUUUCAU
This is a non-coding RNA of Pelobates cultripes (western spadefoot toad), 240 nucleotides long. NCBI's taxonomy places the organism in Eukaryota, Metazoa, Chordata, Amphibia, Anura, Pelobatidae. The record is from the annotation of a GenBank genome assembly.